GACGAACGCUGGCGGCGUGCUUAACACAUGCAAGUCGAACGGAAAGGCCCUGCUUUUGUGGGGUGCUCGAGUGGCGAACGGGUGAGUAACACGUGAGUAACCUGCCCUGGGCUUGGGGAUAACUUCAGGAAACUGGGGCUAAUACCGGAUAGGAGCUCCUGCUGCAGGGUGGGGGUUGGAAAGUUUCGGCGGUUGGGGAUGGACGCGCGGCUUAUCAGCUUGUGGGUGGGGUAGUGGCUUACCCAGGCUUUGACGGGUAGCCGGCCUGAGAGGGUGACCGGCGACAUUGGGCCUGCGAUACGGCGCAGUGUCCUACGGGAGGCAACAGUGGGGAAUAUUGCACAAUGAGCGGAAGCCUGAUGCAGCGGCGCCGCGUGCGGGAUGACGGCCUUCGGGUUGUAAACCGCUUUCGCCUGUGACGAGGCGUGAGUGACGGUAAUGGGUAAAGAAGCACCGGCUAACUACGUG
This 468-nucleotide ribosomal RNA is filed under the name uncultured bacterium. RNAcentral's name for it is "partial 16S ribosomal RNA". It matches the Rfam family "Bacterial small subunit ribosomal RNA", at positions 28 to 507 of the family's 1533-position model. The record is from RNAcentral.